Molecule: unclassified non-coding RNA, 2736 nt
Filed under: Hevea brasiliensis (rubber tree)
Lineage: Eukaryota; Viridiplantae; Streptophyta; Magnoliopsida; Malpighiales; Euphorbiaceae
Source: RNAcentral
CCAAAAAAAAAAAAAAAAAAGGAAGCUUCCCCUAGGUUAGGCAUAACUCUUUCCAACCUGAUUCUCAAUCUUCAAAUCUAUCUUGAUACUCUUCAAGAGCGCUUUCUUGCCUUAAUCUCAUAAAUUCUUCAACUACAUCCCCCUAAUCCUUCAUCCCCACACCUACAACACAAUUUCUUCUCAAAAUCUUCUCUAAGAAUGACCUCCAUCACCCUUACCCCAAUUAUGACAUGCAUAAACUCUUUCUAUCAAGAAUAAACUUGCUAUUCCCUUCCUUAGGAACCCAAUACAUCUCAAAAUACUUAGUACAUUUCCUUAGCCAAGCCCUAGGUUUUUUGCCAUUAAAAGCAAUCAAUUUAACUUUUGGUAAAAUCUUGGACAUACCUUUUGCAUCCAUUGCUGAUCCAGAGCUAUUGUAAUCACCUUUAUGAGUUACAUUAUUAUUCUCCUUUGAUGUGGGAAUAAUUCCCCUUCCCCCAAUAGUAGCAACAGAGGCACCAGCUUCCUUAUUGUCACCCUGAUGCAUUCCUCUGCUUUUUUCAAGUAGAUUUCCCCCAAUUUUGGAUCACAAUUCUUCCAGAAGAACAUUUCUGGUAUCAAUUUUACCUCUUUGAACUCCUUGUUGCACACUUUGCUUAAUUUCUUCUUUCAAUUCCUUCUUAUUCCUUCUGGUUUCCUCUUGCAAAGGCUUAAUAACUUCCCCUAAAUUAGAGAUCCUUGAUUCCUGAGUAACUGCUCCAGAUCUAGUCACCUUCACGGUGUUUCGAAUCUAAAAAGAAAGCUAAUCCCUCACGCAACUUAGCUCUGAUAUCAAAUUGUUAUGGACCAGAUCUGAUACAAUCUAUAGAUAGAGAUUGGAACUCAAAGCAGAGAAGAAAAGAUGAGAUGAGAAGAGAAUAGAAGAGUAAGAGAGAAAUGUAUUCUGUUAUUGAUUCUUGGAAUGCCUUAUUACAGAAGUUCUCUCCUUCAUACAAGAGCAGUGUAACUGCAUCAUAACAGAAUGGCAUAAUGGCCUACAACAGAUUCUGUUGCUAGUAAAGUAUCUUUCCCUCCAAUUCCUUAACUACCCAAGACUAACACUACUUAUCAUUAUUCCUCUUUCUUCCCCUAUAGUAUGUAACUGAUCACUAGCGAGAUGGUCAUCUUUAUUAAUACUUCGAAGAUACACACAGACUGUUUUACACAAUUUGCUCCAGUAAGUUUGUUCUGUGAUUUUCUUCAUCACAGAAAUCACAUCCGCUAUGAUAGAUUAACUUUCUGUCAAUUCUAUAUGAGACUACCACAGGCUAACUAAAGCAUCACUUAAUUCUUCACCAGGCUACCAAGAAACACAAACCCAGUGCCACAAAUAGAAACCCAAGAAUCAGUAAUCGAAUCAAGCAGAAAAUGCACAAGCUAGAGAGAGCAGCACCAAAAAUAGUAUGAAACAAAACCUGUAGUCACAAAGGAUGAGCAGGAGCACUUUCAAGAAGUCACCAAAUGGGGCAGUAGCACACUAGGGUGGCGUCCCCUCUUCAAGUCGACGAAGUAGGGGGAAGCCGGAGCGAAAACGAUUGCCGAAAACAGCCUCACGUUUCGAAUUGUGGGGCGAGUUCAAUGGAACAAAAAGGGCACGUGAAGGCCAUAUGUUCUUCCAGGCACUGAAUUCUAGGGGAAGGCCAGUUGAUGGCCAGCGGUGCUUCUAGGGUAGGACGUGAGAACAAAAGAUCAUCUUAUAUGGGGGACCUCAUUUCACAUUGGGUUUGGUACACACAGAUAGAGUUCGAUGACAUAGGACUCUUGAGAGAUUUCAAAUCAGAGAACUAAAAUUCGCAAAGACAAAAAUAUGCCUAUACACUUGGCUAUACAAGGAAUACAUAAUAAUUAGGAAUAUAUAGUUGACUUUCCCUAACAGCUCUUAAGCAUUGUUUUGGCGAGAAUAAGCAGCUGAUGCAUUUAGUCAUAUAGCUACUGUUCUUCAUGAAAUGAGUGAACAUGUCAUUGGUUUCGAUAGGGUGAGAGAUGAUGAUGAUACUUGUUCUGACUUUGGUCCCAUUUUCUAACAGGAAAUUUCCUAACACGGUUUGUAGUUUAAUGCAUCCAUAAUCAUAAGCAUAAAUAAAGUCAUUAGGGAACUGUCAUUAAUUUGCAAGCACUUAUUCUAGUGAUUUGAUAUAAUAUGGUAUUCUUGUGGUUCCACAAUCCAAACAAGCUUCUAUUUGAAUACACUGCAGUGUUUCUGCCUUUGAGGAGGCUUGCUUUGUUGUUUUUUUUCAUAUGGUGAAUAAUUGAACUACUUGUUUUGAAAACCUGAAGUGUUUGCUUGUGUAAAGAUUGAUGUACAAGAGUAGUGCCUGAUUUGGAAAUGAAUAGGCGUAUGAAUUUGGAAGAUAAAUAUUUUAAGAUCUCUGUGUUAUCUUCUACUCAUUGCAUGGUAUUCAAGAGGCAUGAUUAUUCAGUUGUGUAAAUUUUGAUGUUGUGGCUAUAAACACCCAGGGAGAGAAUUUAUUUACUCCUUGCAUUUUCAUUUUUUUCCCCUCUUUUUAUUAAUGGGAAUCUUUUAAAUCUUUUUUUUUCUAUAUAACAUGGAAGGACAUGGUGAUUUUAUUUUAUAUGAUUGUCGUUGCAUUAAACUGUAUUAUGCAAUUUACUGUUAGAAAGUGAUUAUGUUUAUAGCAUUUCGUUUGUUAUAAUUUCGUUUAAUUUAACACAAUUGUGAAAUAAACUUUGCAGGGAAUUUUGGUGGUGACCAAAUGG